Molecule: ribosomal RNA, 754 nt
Filed under: Phyllocoptes piceanis
Lineage: Eukaryota; Metazoa; Arthropoda; Arachnida; Trombidiformes; Eriophyidae
Description: partial 18S ribosomal RNA
Rfam family: Eukaryotic small subunit ribosomal RNA
Source: RNAcentral
ACAAGCCUGAGAAACGGCUAGUAGGACUAAGGUCUGCAGCAGGCGCGAAACUUACACAAUGCUAGAUUAAAAUUAGCGAUGUAGUGAAGAAAAAUAACGAUGUACUUCCAUUUAAACAUGGUAGUACAAUUGGAAUGAGUCGAGUCUAAACCAUUUAGACGAGUAUCCAAUGGAGGGCAAGUCUGGUGCCAGCAGCCGCGGUAAUUCCAGCUCCAUUAGCAUACAUUAAAGUUGUUGCGGUUAAAAAGCUCGUAGUUGAAUUUUAGGCGAGCUCUAUUGGGAUGCGAUCGUCAAGGUAUUCAUUCAUUCGUGAUUGUUUACUGAUCGUCAUUGCCCUAUAGGAACUCGCUGUUUCGUCACUUAAUCGAGUGCGAAGCGGGUUGGUGCAAGAUUACACUUUUCGAAGUUAAUCUGCCUCAACAUGGUUACCUUGAGAAAAUUAGAGUGCUCACAGCAGGCAGUUGGGGUGUAAAAGCUCCUUUAUGCUUGAAUAAUGUUGCAUGGAAUAAUAGAAUACGGCCUCGGUUCUAUUCUGUUGGUCUUAUAGAACAACAAACAAGUUGGUUAAAGCGAUCAAAAGUCGAUAUGUGGGUGUGAUGUUUGUAGCUGUUCACGUUACCUGGGGCCUUAAAAUCUCAGCGUCGUAACAAAUCUAACAUCACCUAAGCACCCCUUAUUUGCACUAGCUUUCUAAUCAACUGAGGCAAUGGUUAAAAGAAAUAGUCGCGGCGGCAUCAGUACUGCAUCGUGAGAG